GCCAUAUGGAAUACAGACGCGGUUCGACAUGCUCAUUGUUUGAUGGAAACGGACUUGCUAACAAAACGAUAGGACAAGCCGUGGGAGAUUGGUUUUUCGACCGGAGCGAGUUCCAGGAGAUGGACAUGCUCAAUGACUUACCACGGAACUGCAAUGGCUUCAACGACCAACCUACUUUCGAGAAAAAGUGUAGGGAUUAUUAUAUUCAUCAUUAGAUGCCAUGAGUUGAUAGCUUGUGAAUUUGAAUUCUAAUUUCAAUUAUGAAUGAAGUGUAAAGUCUAAUUUCAA
Molecule: non-coding RNA, 288 nt
Organism: Salvia hispanica
Lineage: Eukaryota; Viridiplantae; Streptophyta; Magnoliopsida; Lamiales; Lamiaceae
Source: RefSeq, a predicted model, not a curated record